GAGUUUGAUCUUGGCUCAGGACGAACGCUGGCGGCGUGCUUAACACAUGCAAGUCGAACGGAGCACCCUUGAAAGAGUUUUCGGACAAUGGAUAGGAAUGCUUAGUGGCGGACUGGUGAGUAACGCGUGAGGAACCUGCCUUUCGGAGGGGGACAACAGUUGGAAACGACUGCUAAUACCGCAUGACAUAUCGAAGUCGCAUGGCUUUGAUAUCAAAGAUUUAUCGCCGAAAGAUGGCCUCGCGUCUGAUUAGCUAGUUGGUGGGGUAACGGCCCACCAAGGCGACGAUCAGUAGCCGGACUGAGAGGUUGACCGGCCACAUUGGGACUGAGAUACGGCCCAGACUCCUACGGGAGGCAGCA
RNAcentral lists this ribosomal RNA (362 nucleotides) under uncultured Oscillibacter sp. RNAcentral describes it as "bacterial SSU rRNA". It matches the Rfam family "Bacterial small subunit ribosomal RNA", at positions 9 to 353 of the family's 1533-position model. Lineage: Bacteria; Bacillati; Bacillota; Clostridia; Eubacteriales; Oscillospiraceae. The record is from RNAcentral.